GUGAAUCAUCGAAUCUUUGAACGCAAAUUGCACUCUCCUCGGAGAGUAUGUCUGUUUGAUGGUCAUCCUAUAAAAAAUCAUCAUCGUUGCUGUUUGGCGGCGGCUUUAGUCGGAAAUUGGGGCAUCUUAAAUCCUUUUUAUUUAAUCGACUUAAAAUUUUCUUUUGUUUCCAUGAACGUCUCUAAGAUCUAUUUCUUUACACGUUUAAGGUAUCGAUUUUUACUAUACUUUACCUUCAUAUCUGAUCGCGUCCAUAUUCUUUC
RNAcentral lists this unclassified non-coding RNA (263 nucleotides) under Glomus sp. RNAcentral's name for it is "partial contains 5.8S ribosomal RNA and internal transcribed spacer 2". The stretch from base 1 to 65 matches the Rfam family "5.8S ribosomal RNA", at positions 84 to 154 of the family's 154-position model. Lineage: Eukaryota; Fungi; Glomeromycota; Glomeromycetes; Glomerales; Glomeraceae. The record is from RNAcentral.